This 370-nucleotide ribosomal RNA is filed under the name uncultured eukaryote. RNAcentral describes it as "partial 18S ribosomal RNA". It matches the Rfam family "Eukaryotic small subunit ribosomal RNA", at positions 592 to 976 of the family's 1831-position model. The record is from RNAcentral.
CAAUAGCGUAUAUUAAAGUUGUUGCAGUUAAAAAGCUCGUAGUUGGAUUUCUGGUCGGAAGCUCCUGUCCUCUGAUGAGCGUACAAGUGCGUCCCACCAUCCUUCUGUUAACCUUUAAGGCUUUCGCGGCUUUCUAGGGGCUCAGAUAUUUUACCUUGAGAAAAUUAGAGUGUUUCAGGCAGGCUAGCGCCGGAAUACAUUAGCAUGGAAUAAUGGAAUAGGACUUUUGCCUCUUCUGUUGGUCAUGAGGCUCGAGUAAUGAUUAAUAGGGAUAGUUGGGGGCAUUAGUACUUAACUGUCAGAGGUGAAAUUCUCGGAUUUGUUAAAGACUAACUUAUGCGAAAGCAUUUGCCAAGGAUGUUUUCAUUAA